CCCUUAGAUGUUCUGGGCCGCACGCGCGCUACACUGAUGCGUUCAACAAGUUUCCUUGGCCGAGAGGCCUGGGCAAUCUUCUUAAUAUGUAUCGUGAUAGGGAUAGAUUAUUGCAAUUAUUAAUCUUGAACGAGGAAUUCCUAGUAAACGCAGAUCAUCAAUCUGCAUUGAUUACGUCCCUGCCCUUUGUACACACCGCCCGUCGCACCUACCGAUUGGAUGUUCCGGCGAAGCCUCGGGAUGAGGACUGGUGCCUUUAUUGGCAUGAGUUGUUCAGAACUUGUCUAAACCUUAUCAUCUAGAGGAAGGUGAAGUCGUAACA
Molecule: ribosomal RNA, 322 nt
Filed under: uncultured eukaryote
Lineage: Eukaryota
Description: partial 18S ribosomal RNA
Rfam family: Eukaryotic small subunit ribosomal RNA
Source: RNAcentral